AUACGUAGGGUGCAAGCGUUAUCCGGAAUUAUUGGGCGUAAAGGGCUCGUAGGCGGUUCGUCGCGUCCGGUGUGAAAGUCCAUCGCUUAACGGUGGAUCCGCGCCGGGUACGGGCGGGCUUGAGUGCGGUAGGGGAGACUGGAAUUCCCGGUGUAACGGUGGAAUGUGUAGAUAUCGGGAAGAACACCAAUGGCGAAGGCAGGUCUCUGGGCCCGUUACUGACGCUGAGGAGCGAAAGCGUGGGGAGCAAACAGGAUUAGAUACCCUGGUAGUCCACGCCGUAAACGGUGGAUGCUGGAUGUGGGGCCCGUUCCACGGGUUCCGUGUCGGAGCUAACGCGUUAAGCAUCCCGCCUGGGGAGUACGGCCGCAAGGCUAAAACUCAAAGAAAUUGACGGGGGCCCGCACAAGCGGCGGAGCAUGCGGAUUAAUUCGAUGCAACGCGAAGAACCUUACCUGGGCUUGACAUGUUCCCGACGAUCCCAGAGAUGGGGUUUCCCUUCGGGGCGGGUUCACAGGUGGUGCAUGGUCGUCGUCAGCUCGUGUCGUGAGAUGUUGGGUUAAGUCCCGCAACGAGCGCAACCCUCGCCCCGUGUUGCCAGCGGAUUGUGCCGGGAACUCACGGGGGACCGCCGGGGUUAACUCGGAGGAAGGUGGGGAUGACGUCAGAUCAUCAUGCCCCUUACGUCCAGGGCUUCACGCAUGCUACAAUGGCCGGUACAACGGGAUGCGACAGCGCGAGCUGGAGCGGAUCCCUGAAAACCGGUCUCAGUUCGGAUCGCAGUCUGCAACUCGACUGCGUGAAGGCGGAGUCGCUAGUAAUCGCGAAUCAGCAACGUCGCGGUGAAUGCGUUCCCGGGCCUUGUACACACCGCCCGUCAAGUCAUGAAAGUGGGCAGCACCCGAAGCCGGUGGCCUAACCCCUUGCGGGAGGGAGCCGUCUAAGGUGAGGCUCGUGAUUGGGACU
RNAcentral lists this ribosomal RNA (966 nucleotides) under uncultured bacterium. RNAcentral describes it as "bacterial SSU rRNA". It matches the Rfam family "Bacterial small subunit ribosomal RNA", at positions 523 to 1482 of the family's 1533-position model. The record is from RNAcentral.